AUCAAGCUUACUUUGCUGGAAAGCAUCAAGAGCAACCCGUCAGAAGCUGUCCCGCUUGAAAAUUCGAACCCGAAAACCAAGAGCAUUGCUGAAGUUAGUCUCAUGUGGGAGAUGUCUCUCUUCAAAAUCUCCAAGAUAGUUUUGGGAAUCUCUCAGAGGAUCCAUCCCACUGCCAUUGUAAUUUGUAUUUGCCUGUAUUUAGGCCGGUUUUUUUUUUCAUCCUCAUGUUAUAGGGUCCAAUUUCAUAAGGCCAAUCCUUAUUUUCAUUUAGUCUAAUAAAAAGCAUGUAGUUAUAUAUCUAAUGAAGAAAAAUUAGGAAUGUAG
Arachis ipaensis is the source of this 324-nucleotide non-coding RNA. The record is from RefSeq and is a predicted model, not a curated record. NCBI's taxonomy places the organism in Eukaryota, Viridiplantae, Streptophyta, Magnoliopsida, Fabales, Fabaceae.